RNAcentral lists this ribosomal RNA (492 nucleotides) under uncultured bacterium. RNAcentral describes it as "partial 16S ribosomal RNA". It matches the Rfam family "Bacterial small subunit ribosomal RNA", at positions 29 to 507 of the family's 1533-position model. The record is from RNAcentral.
AGCGAACGCUGGCGGUAGGCCUAACACAUGCAAGUCGAACGGCAGCACAGUAAGAGCUUGCUCUUACGGGUGGCGAGUGGCGGACGGGUGAGGAAUACAUCGGAAUCUACUUUUUCGUGGGGGAUAACGUAGGGAAACCUACGCUAAUACCGCAUACGACCUACGGGUGAAAGCAGGGGAUCUUCGGACCUUGCGCGAUUGAAUGAGCCGAUGUCGGAUUAGCUAGUUGGCGGGGUAAAGGCCCACCAAGGCGACGAUCCGUAGCUGGUCUGAGAGGAUGAUCAGCCACACUGGAACUGAGACACGGUCCAGACUCCUACGGGAGGCAGCAGUGGGGAAUAUUGGACAAUGGGCGCAAGCCUGAUCCAGCCAUACCGCGUGGGCGAAGAAGGCCUUCGGGUUGUAAAGCCCUUUUGUUGGGAAAGAAAAGCAGCAGGUUAAUACCCCGCUGUUCUGACGGUACCCAAAGAAUAAGCACCGGCUAACUUCGUG